Molecule: long non-coding RNA, 846 nt
Organism: Armigeres subalbatus
Lineage: Eukaryota; Metazoa; Arthropoda; Insecta; Diptera; Culicidae
Exons: 2
Source: RefSeq, a predicted model, not a curated record
UUUAUUUUUCCCUACACGGAGACAAAUGCCUUUAGUUUGAAACAACCAUAUGUAUGGUUGAAUAACAAACACACAUUAUGGCUGUUUUAAACUAAUUUUUGUUUGUUUUAAAACCUUGGUUUUGGUUGAAACAGACACUUUUUGUAGUUAAUAACAAACUGACAAAUUAGUUUGAAUACGGCUAAUCUUUGUUUAUUUCAAACAAAAAAAAAUGUUGUUUUUAACAAAAUGUUACAUUGUUUCAAACAAAACAUGGAUUGUUGCAACCAACAAAUUUGCUACACAAUGCAACACAUUAGAACACCGCACUGUAAUCAACUACACGGACCAAGAGAUUUAUUUUCAAUUAUUGAAACACAUAAUCAGGAAAAUCUGUUCAAAACUAGAUUUCACUUCAGUCAGCUGCAGCUGUAUCUGGUACGCAUUCGCCAUGUUUAGCCGAGUUUUUAGUUAUUCCGCUCCUGGACUACUUGCGAUUUAGCGCAGGCAAAGCUUGCAGCAUUCUAAAAGAAAAUAUCUACACUAAACUGGAACCAUUAUGCGUCGAAUAACCAUAAUGCCAUCGAAGGCGACAAGAAACAUCAUCAAUGCCAGCCAUUAUCAACGCGUCGCCGUUGAAACAUCACCGCACAGUCCAACUAGUUGCCGGGCUCCGAAAAUUCAACGACGAUCGGCUUGGUUAUGGAUUUGCCGGAAGACGAUAGCCGCAUGGUUAUGGAUUUUCCGGAAGACAGCGCGCUGUUAAAUGUUAUUCCUUGGUAAAAAUGCUGGUCUUACGAGUAAAAUGCUUAUACAUUAUUCAAUAAAAUAAAUCGAUGAGAUAGAAUAAAACUGUAAAGAACUGAA